RNAcentral lists this ribosomal RNA (254 nucleotides) under uncultured bacterium. Its description in RNAcentral is "partial 16S ribosomal RNA". It matches the Rfam family "Bacterial small subunit ribosomal RNA", at positions 524 to 776 of the family's 1533-position model. The record is from RNAcentral.
UACGUAGGGUGCUAGCGUUGUCCGGAUUUAUUGGGCGUAAAGGGCUCGUAGGCGGCGUGUCGCGUCGGGAGUGAAAGCCCGCUGCUUAACGGCGGGUUGGCUUCCGGUACGGGCAUCGCUGGAGUGCGGCAGGGGAGACUGGAAUUCCUGGUGUAGCGGUGGAAUGCGCAGAUAUCAGGAAGAACACCCGUGGCUAAGGCGGCUCUCUAGUACGGUACUGACGCUGAGACGCGAAAGCGUGGGGAGCGAACAGG